Non-coding RNA from Brachypodium distachyon (stiff brome), 418 nucleotides. The record is from RefSeq and is marked provisional. NCBI's taxonomy places the organism in Eukaryota, Viridiplantae, Streptophyta, Magnoliopsida, Poales, Poaceae.
CCACUUUAUGAAUGCUCUUCCCACUGUCAUUUUCCAGACUUAUGCUGACCAAACAAGCCUUGCUGACUCCAACAUUCGAAACACAUGGGAGCUCACUGAUAUUGCUAAUCCAAGUAGUCUUUUCCGCCUCAUGAAGAAAAUGGCAUGACCAUAAGACAUGGGAUAGCUGGAUCUACUUAACUGGUAGUACUAGUUAACACGUCCAUAUUGACAUGGGAUCUACCAGAGAAGAAAAUGGCAUGACCAUAAGAACGUCUUGCAAGCGUCAUUGUUUCAUGACACUUGGGGGACUCAUGAGGCACAAUGGAGUACUUGGAUAGGCGAGAUCAAUAAGCUCCCAUGUGUUCCGAAUGUUGGAGUCAAUAGGGGUUGCAUAAUUCCGGAAAAUGAUAGGUUGGAAGAACACGCCUAAGGUGGA